Molecule: transfer RNA, 73 nt
Filed under: Micromonospora humi
Lineage: Bacteria; Bacillati; Actinomycetota; Actinomycetes; Micromonosporales; Micromonosporaceae
Description: tRNA_Pseudo_???
Source: RNAcentral
GCCCUCCUGGCGUAACUGGUAGCGCACGGGAGUGAAGACCCCCGAGGACUCCGUUCAAGUCGGGGGGAGGGCA